GACGAACGCUGGCGGCGUGCCUAACACAUGCAAGUCGAGCGGAGUCGAUCGACGGAAGCCUUCGGGCGGAAGAUGGUUGACUUAGCGGCGGAUGGGUGAGUAACGCGUGGGCAACCUGCCUCGAAGACCGGGAUAACAGCCCGAAAGGGCUGCUAAUACCGGAUGUGGUCAAGGAUCCGCAUGGAUUUUUGAUUAAAGGGGAGACCCGUUUCGAGAUGGGCCCGCGUCCUAUCAGCUAGUUGGUGAGGUAAAAGCUCACCAAGGCGACGACGGGUAGCCGGCCUGAGAGGGUGACCGGCCACACUGGAACUGAGACACGGUCCAGACUCCUACGGGGGGCGAGCAGUGGGGAAUCUUCCACAAUGGGCGAAAGCCUGAUGGAGCGACGCCGCGUGAGCGAAGAAGGCCUUCGGUUGUAAGCUCUGUCUGGAGGGACGGAAGGAAGUAGACGGUACCGUCCGGACGGAAGCCACGGCUAACUACGUGCCAGCAGCCGCGGUAAAAGGUAUACUAU
This 514-nucleotide ribosomal RNA is filed under the name uncultured bacterium. RNAcentral's name for it is "bacterial SSU rRNA". It matches the Rfam family "Bacterial small subunit ribosomal RNA", at positions 28 to 535 of the family's 1533-position model. The record is from RNAcentral.